AUUUAAACUACGGAUGCGUGUUUGGGUCAAAAUUCGGAAAUUUGGAAAAUAAAUCUUAAAUAUUUUCUUUUGGCGAUUUAUGACAAAGCUUUGGCUAAAUAAGUCUAUAAUGCAUGUUAAAUGAAUAAGUUUAAAGUACUUUUCUUAUUUGUUUCAUUUUAGAUUGACCUUACUGUACCAGUGAAAUAAGUUUGCAGGAGAAGUCUUGAAGCUGGUUCGUUACGUGCAUGUAAACGUUUAAAGGUAAAAGACAUGUGAACUUGAGAAAUGAAGGUGUGGAACUUAAAGCAGUGAAAUGUCAACCUGAUUGGUUCUAAUGAGGUGUUACAAUAUAUUGAUAAAGCAGUCAAUUCACGUGUAGUAUUAUCUGAGGUCAGAUCAUAUUUCAAUUCAAUAAAAGGUAUGUGAUGUGUUUUCAGAAUAAAAUAAAUUGCUCUGUAUCAUAAAACAAACAUUGAAAAUGAGAAUUUAACAAAGCAAAACAUGAAAAAAAAGAAUAGCAAACUUGUUUUGAUUGGGGCUGCUAACGAGUUGUUCCCAGAAAAUGCAACCCCAAUUUGGCAGCCAGCUCCCGUCAAUAUUCAUUUAUUG
Long non-coding RNA from Ruditapes philippinarum (Manila clam), 591 nucleotides. RefSeq lists it as uncharacterized. Lineage: Eukaryota; Metazoa; Mollusca; Bivalvia; Venerida; Veneridae. The transcript is spliced from 3 exons. The record is from RefSeq and is a predicted model, not a curated record.